Molecule: ribosomal RNA, 543 nt
Filed under: fungal sp. SNB-LD3.11
Lineage: Eukaryota; Fungi
Description: partial large subunit ribosomal RNA
Source: RNAcentral
UNCCUGCUGNGCCGMUUAUUAGAUUGCUUCUGAGAKUWGGGGUUUUACCCUCCGGGAUUAGUCCGCUAAUAGGCGAGAUANAUAAUUACUACGYCUAGAGUGUGAACCAACUCCGCCACUAACUUUGAGGAGCUACGUUACCGUAGGCUCCCAACACUAAGCAACUAAGGCUUAAGGGUUGAAAUGACGCUCGAACGGUCCUGCCCACUAGAAUACUAAUGGGCGCAAUAUGCGUUCAAAGAUUCGAUGAUUCACUGAAUUCUGCAAUUCACAUUACUUAUCGCAUUUCGCUGCGUUCUUCAUCGAUGCCAGAACCAAGAGAUCCGUUGUUGAAAGUUUUAACUUAUUUAGUUAUAGGUUCAGAAUUCAAUAUCAAACAGAGUUUGGUGGGCCGCCGGCAGGCUUACCCGCACCUCCCGGGUAAGUCUUACAGGGUAAGACUACGAGGUAGGCGCGACCUGCCGAGGCAACGUUAGGUAUGUUCACAUGGGUUUGGGAGUUAUAGAACUCUUUAAUGAUCCCUCCGCAGGUUCACCUACGGAR